RNAcentral lists this ribosomal RNA (67 nucleotides) under uncultured archaeon. RNAcentral describes it as "partial 23S ribosomal RNA". The record is from RNAcentral.
UAGUAUAAUCCUACCAUUGGAUGGCUCGGUUCAAGUGCCGAUGAAGGGCGUGCCAAGCUGCGAUAAG